RNAcentral lists this long non-coding RNA (899 nucleotides) under Phoenix dactylifera (date palm). RNAcentral describes it as "long non-coding RNA (PDAC_LNC002000)". The record is from RNAcentral. Lineage: Eukaryota; Viridiplantae; Streptophyta; Magnoliopsida; Arecales; Arecaceae.
AGACACCACUCCCCAUGCACAUCUCCAUCACCACCUCCAUAUAAUUGCUUAUAGAGAGAGACUCUAACCCAAUCAAGCCACCUCUCUCUCUCUCUCUCUCUCUCUNNNNNNNNNNNNNNNNNNNNCUCUCUCUCUCUCUCUCUCUCUCUGACAUCAAACUCUUGUGGUACAACUCUCUCACCGCCUUUCUUCUCACCCCUUUUCCAUCCAUUUUUUCUGUUCCUCUGCUCUCUCUUCAGGGUCAGCCAUGGCUGCUCUAGUUCUUCUUGUGCUUCUGUUGGCCAUGACUGGGGGGUCAGGUAAGCUUUAGGCCUUUGCUAUAUGCUCCUUUCUUCCUUUUUUUUAUAAUUUCAAUCUUCAGGUCUAGAACCUUGUAAAAAUGUUUAGGAGAUGGUUAGUUUCCCCCUUCUUUAUUGCCUGUUUCUGUUAUAUGUUUUUAUGGGUUAUGGUUUACUGGAGAGGCUAAGAUUGUUCGUUUUAAUCAUGUCCAAGGCUCAAAGGCCGUCACCUUUUUCUACUUUUCAACACCCGAUUCUCCUUUUCCUUUCUUGUGGUUCUGUUGCUUUUUCUAAUCAGGAGUCAUGGUAAGGCUUAGCUACAUAAAUCUAUAAUACAUGUCCUCAGAGAUUGGGAAUGGACUUGCUCCCCUGUUCUAAUUUUUUUUCCUUUUUCUUUGUUUUCAUGUUUGAUAGCCGGAUACAUGAUGUUAUCUCCAUGCUAGUGUGUGUAAAUGACAUAGAACCCAAGUAUCACUAAUUAUUUAUAAUAGACUUCGAGUUCCUUUUUUUUUAACCUUUUAUCCCUUGGAUUUUUUUUCCUCUGAAGGUUAUUUCAGAGUUGGUUCCUCUUAUGUUCAAUAAUAAUGAUUUGGCAGAUGGUGAGUGAAAGUUUUCCUUCAU